This 574-nucleotide long non-coding RNA is filed under the name Pectinophora gossypiella (pink bollworm). Its description in RNAcentral is "uncharacterized LOC126381243". The record is from RNAcentral. Lineage: Eukaryota; Metazoa; Arthropoda; Insecta; Lepidoptera; Gelechiidae.
UUUUUUCUCAACGUUGACAUGUUAGUAUUAUAAUCUGUGACAAUGAUCUGUGACAUUGUCAAGGUGACAGUUGUUAGUUGACAUACGAUUAUUUCUGAUGUUUGGUGGUCUUCAUUUUGUAUUGGCAAAAAUAUAUCUCCAACUCCUAUCUCUAAAGACGAUGAUAACCAUUGUGAAGAAUGACAUGCAAAGGCUAUUAGAACCACAUAUCAACAAUUUUCUGACCAUGACCAAGUGAUGAAUAUGAUAAAAGUCUACCUCAUGAAAGCCACACUACUUUUCAAAGAAAAAUAUUUUCUUUGGAGUUGUAGGUAUUAUAGUGAAAACUUAAUCUUGACUUCUGUUCUGCAUAAAUGAGAAUCGCACUAUGCCAGGUAACAUAAUGUAGCGAGUACCCUGGUUGAGUCAAGAUAAUAUAAAAUAAGUGGAAAGAUAAUGUGGCCCAAGUAGUAAAGGAAAGGAUGUGCAAACAGCCGAAUGUGAAUCUGGCAAUAAUGUGCCUGUUUAAAUGAGUUUUAGUUGAGUACCAAAUAGUUACCUAGGUUUUCCUGGGAAAAACACUGAUCCAGCCUUU